AUGGCGGCGCACGUCUUCUCCUCCGUCGAGCCACCGCUGUUCUCAGCCUCGCCGGUGGCCGGAGUUGGCGGCCGGCGACGUCGAUCCUUCCGCCCUUGCAUGGUGACGAGCCCUACCCGGGACUCCCACGCGAUGGCCGAUGGUUUUGACUUCCAGGAGGGCCUGAAGAGUGUUAAGGAAAUGCUGCAUCAAAACCAUAAGGAAAAGAGGAAGGUGAUGACUGAUAUUGAUCACCUCAAGCGCCUCUGCAUCGACCACUAUUUCCAAAACGAGAUCAAUGAUGGCAUGGAUGCGUGCUUGAAUCUUGUUGACAGUGAUGAUCUACUAGAUGCAACACUUUCCUUCAGGCUACUGAGAGAAGAUGGAUAUGAUAUUUCAGCAGAUGAGGUUCUUCAAAAGUUUGUCAAUGAAAACGAGGACUUCAACGUUGAUCAUACCAAAGACAUCAGAGGGUUGCUCAGCUUGCAGGACAUAUCACACUUGAACAUGGGAGAAGCAUCACUAUACAAGGCAAAUGACUUCUCAAGGAAACACCUCACUUCUGCAAUUAAACACUUGGACCUAAACCUUGCAAGAUAUGUGAGGCAUUCACUGGAUCAUCCCUACCAUGUGAGCCUGAUGCAGUACAAGGCUAGACACCACCUGAGCUAUCUCCAGAGCUUGCCCACUCGGAACACUGCAAUGGAGGAGCUGGCACUUGCAGACUUCAAGCUUAACAAGUUGCAGCAUCAGAUGGAAAUGCAAGAGGUUAAGAGAUGGUGGAUGGGCCUGGGAUUGGCUCAAGAAAUACCAGCUACGCGUGACCAAAUUCUUAAAUGGUACAUGUUUCCCAUGACUAUCCUCCAGGGGCAAUCCUUCUCCAGAUACCGGAUUGAGAUAACCAAAAUCAUUGCAAUUGUCAGUAUUGUGGAUGACAUCUUUGAUGUUGUUGCAACACAAGAGGAGCUUUCUCGCUUCACCGAGGCAAUCAGAACGUGGGAUCUUGCAGCUGCUGCAUCACUUCCAAGCUACAUGAGAUCAUGCUACAGUUCUCUUUAUACAAUCACAAAUGACAUCGCAGAUAUGGCUGAAAGAGAACAUGGGCUGAACCCUAUUGAUCAUCUCAAAAAAGAUUGGGCCAUGCUUUUCGAUGCAUUUUUGCUUGAGGCGAAAUGGUUGUCUGCUAAUCAUGUUCCUUCCCUAGAUGACUACCUAUCGAACGGCGUCAUCACUACAGGAGGACCACUUGCACUUGUGCAUCUCUUUUCCAUGCUAGGACAUGAUCCAACAAGGGAUGCUACAAACCUCACGGCCGGCCGUAUCCCUCCGAUAAUCUCCUGCCCGUCAAAGAUCUUGAGACUUUGGGAUGACAUGGGCAGUGCCAAGGACGAAGCGCAAGAUGGCCUGGACGGAUCAUACAAGGAGUUGUACCUGAAAGAGAACCCCGGUGGCGACGCGAAGGGGCAUAUGCUGGCGCUGAUCGAGAGUGAGUGGGGGGAGCUCAACAGGGAGUGCUUCUCCAGGAGGACAUUCCCGCCCAGCAUGACCCGGAUCUCGCUAAACCUCGCGAGGAUGGUGAGGGUCCUCUUUGGCUACGGCGAAGGGCAGACGCUCCCCGUCCUUGAGGAGUACAUAAGGAUGCUCUUGUUAUGA
This 1632-nucleotide ribosomal RNA is filed under the name Triticum aestivum (bread wheat). Its description in RNAcentral is "partial small subunit ribosomal RNA". Lineage: Eukaryota; Viridiplantae; Streptophyta; Magnoliopsida; Poales; Poaceae. The record is from RNAcentral.